AGCAGCCGCGGUAAUUCCAGCUCCAAUAGCGUAUAUUAAAGUUGUUGCAGUUAAAAAGCUCGUAGUUGAAUUUCGGGAUUUAUCCGUCGGUCGGGCUUUUGGGUCUGUACUGGCGUGAUGGAUUCCUACCUUCUGAAUAACCGGCAUGUCAUUAAUUUGGUGCGCUGGGGAAGCAGGACUGUUACCUUGAAAAAUUAGAGUGCUUAAAGCAGGCUAUUGCCUGAAUACAUUAGCAUGGAAUAAUGAAAUAGGACGGCAUGGUUCUAUUUUGUUGGUUUCUAGGAUCACCGUAAUGAUUAAUAGGGAUAGUUGGGGGCAUUAGUAUUCAAUUGUCAGAGGUGAAAUUCUUGGAUUUAUUGAAGACUAACUUCUGCGAAAGCAUUUGCCAAGGAUGUUUUCAUUAAUCAAGAACGAAAGUUAGGGGAUCGAAGACGAUCAGAUACCGUCGUAGUCUUAACCAUAAACUAUGCCGACUAGGGAUCGGACGAUGUUAAUUUUAUAAUGACUCAUUC
This 512-nucleotide ribosomal RNA is filed under the name uncultured Acaulospora. RNAcentral's name for it is "SSU rRNA". It matches the Rfam family "Eukaryotic small subunit ribosomal RNA", at positions 569 to 1081 of the family's 1831-position model. The record is from RNAcentral. Lineage: Eukaryota; Fungi; Glomeromycota; Glomeromycetes; Diversisporales; Acaulosporaceae.